RNAcentral lists this ribosomal RNA (253 nucleotides) under uncultured bacterium. Its description in RNAcentral is "partial 16S ribosomal RNA". It matches the Rfam family "Bacterial small subunit ribosomal RNA", at positions 524 to 776 of the family's 1533-position model. The record is from RNAcentral.
UACGGAGGGUGCGGGCGUUGUCCGGAAUCAUUGGGCGUAAAGAGCGUGUAGGCGGCCAUGUAGGUCCGGUGUGAAAACUCGAGGCUUAACCUCGAGAUGUCAUCGGAAACCAUUUGGCUAGAGUCCGGAAGAGGAGAGUGGAAUUCCUGGUGUAGCGGUGAAAUGCGCAGAUAUCAGGAAGAACACCAAUGGCGAAAGCAGCUCUCUGGGACGGUACUGACGCUGAGACGCGAAAGCGUGGGGAGCGAACAGG